This 397-nucleotide ribosomal RNA is filed under the name Thaumatomonas sp. RNAcentral describes it as "partial small subunit ribosomal RNA". It matches the Rfam family "Eukaryotic small subunit ribosomal RNA", at positions 582 to 975 of the family's 1831-position model. Lineage: Eukaryota; Cercozoa; Imbricatea; Thaumatomonadida; Thaumatomastigidae. The record is from RNAcentral.
AUUCCAGCUCCAGUAGCGUAUAUUAAAGUUGUUGCAGUUAAAAAGCUCGUAGUUGGAUUUCUGGUACGGCGCGUUUGGCCGACACCCGUUAGGGUGUUCUGUGCCGUGCGCGCCUGCCAUCUUUCUAGAAAACCUCUCUACCCUUCACUGGGCCGGAUUGGCAGAUCCAGAACUUUUACUUUGAAAAAAUUAGAGUGUUUAAAGCAGGCUUGUGCUAUGAAUACAUUAGCAUGGAAUAAUAAUUUAGGACUUUGGUCCUAUUUUGUUGGUUUCUAGGACCGAAGUAAUGAUUGAUAGGGAUAGUUGGGGGUGCUAGUAUUCAGCGGCCAGAGGUGAAAUUCUUGGAUUCGCUGAAGACUAACUUAUGCGAAAGCAUUCACCAAGGAUGUCUUCAUUA